CUCCCUCUUCUGAAAAGUCGAGUUCGCAAUCAGAAGCUCGGAAGCCCUGGCGAAAUCAAGCAGCGAAGUGCCCCCUCCGUUCCUAACCCCAAAGCUGAAGCCUCCGUGCACCUCAUCAUAGCCAUCAGCAUCAGCCCCAAUAUGGCCAUUAAAGUCCCCCCCCAAUAAGUAACUUCUCAGAUUGAGGAAUACUACUCACCAUAUCAUCCAAGUCCUCCCAAAAGCGCCUCUUGGCCUCCUCGUCUAGACCCGCUUGCGGCGC
Molecule: long non-coding RNA, 262 nt
Filed under: Nicotiana benthamiana
Lineage: Eukaryota; Viridiplantae; Streptophyta; Magnoliopsida; Solanales; Solanaceae
Description: long non-coding RNA (NBEN_LNC024752)
Source: RNAcentral